Molecule: RNA transcript, 3898 nt
Organism: Physeter macrocephalus (sperm whale)
Lineage: Eukaryota; Metazoa; Chordata; Mammalia; Artiodactyla; Physeteridae
Gene: SLC26A4
Gene name: solute carrier family 26 member 4
Exons: 21
Source: RefSeq, a predicted model, not a curated record
CUUCCUGGUCCGGGAAAGGGAAAGAAUUCGGGAGGGGUAGGAUUUUUUUUUUUUUCCCGGUAGGAUAGGUGGGGAAAAGACCGCUGCCUGUGUGUCCCUCUUUUGGACUAAGGUGUCUCUGUUGCUCCAUAAAUAAAACGUCUCACUGCCUUCUGCGAGCGCUAUAAAGGCGGCGGAACGGCUGUCCCAGGGGCAUUCCGGGCCGGACUUGAGCCGGAGCAGGUGAGAUCGUCGCUGAAGAUGCAGCGCACCCCACCCCGCCCUGGCUUAACUCCCGGGGAGGCAUCGCUGGUUGGGGAUGGGACUAGUGGGGGGGGGGGACACAGAGCCGCCGGGCAGGGGACAGUACAGCCUUCUUUCUGAGAAGCUGACUGCGAGAAGGAAGCUAGGAAAACAGGCCGAGGGGUGAGACCUGCUCCACCCGCCCAAAGUUCUGUCCCCGGGAGAGCGCGCCCGGCUGCUGGAAUUUGCCUGCAACGCGGGCGCAGCCUCGGGACCCGGGGAGCAUGGCUUGAGGGUUCCACGCCCGGCUCCGGGGGUUGUGUUUCUUUCCCAGGGCGCGCCUGGCGCUGCGCCCUGGGUCGGGUGCGGGGAGAGAGGGACGUUCACAGAGUCCCCCUUCCUGCCCCUGCGCGCCGCGGGCCCCAGCCCGGGUUUGGGGAGAUUUCAGGACGCGGACAGCGCCCUGGCUGCCCAUCUGAGGGGACUGGGUCGGGCUCCCGCCGCCCCCCAGCGCCGGGCUCACUCUCUUAUUAGAGUCCGGUUGCGCCGGGCGGCAGGUGCAGGCUCGGGACCCAGAGGUCCUCAGGGCCCCCUGCAGGCUGGAGGUGCGCGCCCGGGGGUGGCAGGCCCGGGCGCAGAGGGCGGCAGCGCGCGGACCAGGAUCUCGGGGAUCGGCUGCAACAGGUGGGGCCGGCCGGGGGCGGCUGACGGGCGGUCUUCACCUCCUCUUCUCUUCCCUCGUUCCAUCUCCUCCCUCCUCGUCGUCCUCCGCCUCUCAGGUCAUGGCAGCGCCGGGCGGCAGGUUGGAGCCGCCGCCGCUCCCCGAGUACAGCUGCAGCUACGUGGUGUCGCGGCCGGUCUACAGCGAGCUCGCCUUCCAGCAGCAGUACGAGCGGCGCCUGCAGGAGCGCAAGACGCUGCGGGAGAGCCUGGCCAAGGGCUGCAGUUGUUCAAGAAAGAGAACCCUUGGUGUGCUGAAGACUCUCCUGCCCAUCUUGGACUGGCUCCCCAAAUACCGGAUCAAGGAAUGGCUGCUUAGUGAUACCAUUUCGGGAGUCAGUACUGGGCUAGUGGGGACACUGCAAGGCAUGGCGUAUGCUCUACUAGCUGCUGUUCCUGUUGGAUAUGGUCUCUACUCUGCUUUUUUUCCUAUCCUGACAUACUUUUUCUUCGGAACAUCAAGACACAUCUCAGUUGGACCUUUCCCAGUGGUCAGUUUAAUGGUGGGAUCUGUUGUUCUGAGCAUGGCCCCCGACGAACACUUUCUCGUGUCCAGCAGUAAUGGAACUACACUGAAUACCACCAUGAUAGACUCUGCAGCUAGAGAUGCAGCAAGAGUAUUGAUUGCGAGCACCCUUACUCUUUUGGUUGGAAUCAUACAGUUGAUAUUUGGAGGUUUGCAGAUUGGAUUCAUAGUGAGGUACCUGGCAGAUCCUUUGGUUGGUGGAUUCACAACAGCUGCUGCCUUCCAAGUGUUGGUCUCACAGCUGAAGAUUGUCCUCAAUGUUUCAACCAAAAACUACAAUGGAAUUCUCUCCAUUAUCUAUACUCUAAUUGAGAUUUUUCAAAAUAUUGGUAACACUAAUCUUGCUGAUUUCAUUGCUGGAUUACUCACCAUUAUCAUCUGUAUGGCAGUUAAGGAAUUAAAUGAUCGAUUUAAACACAAAAUCCCAGUCCCUAUUCCUAUAGAAGUGAUUGUGACAAUAAUAGCUACUGCCAUUUCAUAUGGAGUUGACCUGGAAAAAAACUAUAACGCUGGCAUUGUUAAGUCCAUCCCAAGUGGGUUUUUGCCUCCAGCGAUUCCAUCUGUGAGUUUGUUUUCUGAGAUGCUGACUGCAUCAUUUUCCAUCGCUGUGGUCGCUUAUGCCAUUGCAGUGUCUGUAGGAAAAGUAUACGCCAUCAAGUAUGAUUACACCAUCGAUGGGAACCAGGAAUUCAUUGCUUUUGGGAUCAGCAACAUCUUCUCUGGAUUCUUCUCUUGUUUUGUGGCCACCACUGCCCUGUCCCGCACCGCCGUCCAGGAGAGCACUGGGGGAAAGACACAGGUUGCCGGCGUCAUCUCGGCUGGGAUCGUGAUGAUAGCCAUCGUUGCCCUGGGCAAGUUGUUGGAACCCUUGCAGAAGUCGGUCUUGGCAGCUGUUGUAAUCGCCAACCUGAAGGGGAUGUUUAUGCAGGUGUGUGACAUUCCUCAUCUGUGGAGGCAGAAUAAGACUGAUGCUGUUAUUUGGGUGUUUACGUGCGUAGCAUCCAUCUUUCUGGGGCUGGACCUUGGUUUACUAGCUGGCCUUAUAUUUGGAUUUCUGACUGUGGUCCUGAGAGUUCAAUUCCCCUCAUGGAACAGCCUUGGAAGUAUCCCUAGCACAGACAUCUACAAAAGCACCAAGAAUUACAAAAACAUUGAAGAACCUGAAGGAGUGAAGAUUCUGAGAUUUUCUAGUCCUAUUUUUUACGGCAAUGUUGAUGGUUUAAAAAAAUGUAUCAAGUCCACAGUUGGAUUUGAUGCCAUUAGAGUGUAUAAUAAGAGGUUGAAAGCACUGAGGAAAAUACAGAAACUCAUCAAAAAAGGGCAAUUAAGAGCAGCAAAGAAUGGCAUUAUAAGUGAUGCUGGUUCAUUGAAUAAUGCUUUUGAGCCUGAUGAAGACAUCGAAAAUCCAGAAGAAUUUGAUAUUCCAACCAAGGAAAUAGAGAUUCAAGUGGAUUGGAAUGCUGAGCUUCCAGUCAAAGUGAAUGUUCCUAAAGUGCCGAUCCAUAGCCUCGUGCUUGACUGUGGAGCUGUCUCUUUCCUGGAUGUUGUUGGAGUGAGAUCAUUGCGUGUGAUUGUCAAAGAAUUCCAAAGAAUUGAUGUAAAUGUGUACUUUGCAUCACUUCAAGAUCAUGUGAUAGAAAAGCUGGAGAAAUGUGGUUUCUUUAAUGAUAACAUCAGAAAGGACAUAUUCUUUUUGACUGUCCACGAUGCUGUCCUCCAUCUCCAGAACCAGGUGAAAUCCCAAGAGGUUCAAGAUUCCAUUUUAGAAACGAUCACCCUCAUCCAAGACUGUAAAGAUCCUCUUGAAUUAAUGGAAGCAGAGCUGAUUGAAGAAGAACUUGAUGUCCAAGAUGAGGCUAUGCGAAGACUUGCUUCCUGAAAUUGGGCUCAGGAGAUCGCUCUAAGCAAGGACUGCAAGGCAAAUUUUACCCACCACUAGGUAAGACUCCAGGCUCCCAGUGCUGGGGGCCCAGGUUCGAUCCCUGGUCAGGGAACUAGAUCCCGCAUGCAUGCUGCAACUAAGAAGUCCGCAGGCUGCAACUAAAAGAUCCUGCGUGCUGCAACUAAGACCCAGCACAGCCAAAAUAAAUAAAUAAAUAAAUAUUAAAAUAAAGAGAAAAUACCAUCCUUUCCCCUUCUUCGAUGCAAUGUAACCUUUAUCAUAAAUCAGCUAACUCUAUAUGCUUGUGUCUGUUUCUAGACUCUCUGUUCCAUUGGUCUAUUUUUCUGCCCUUGUACCAAUACUUUACUGUCUUAAUUACUAUAGUUUUUAGUAACUCUAGAUAUAUGGAAGUGUAAUUCUUCCAGUUUGUUCUUUUCCUACUAUAUUUAUGCUUAGCCCUCUGCAUUCCCAUUUACAUUUUAGAAGAGCCUAUCCAUUUGUAACAAUUAUUAUUCUUAAUAUAUUUUCUAGAAUUAGCAAAAAUUUUC